This 253-nucleotide ribosomal RNA is filed under the name uncultured bacterium. RNAcentral's name for it is "partial 16S ribosomal RNA". It matches the Rfam family "Bacterial small subunit ribosomal RNA", at positions 524 to 776 of the family's 1533-position model. The record is from RNAcentral.
UACGAAGGGGGCUAGCGUUGCUCGGAAUCACUGGGCGUAAAGCGCACGUAGGCGGCUUGUUAAGUCAGGGGUGAAAUCCUGGAGCUCAACUCCAGAACUGCCUUUGAUACUGGCGAGCUUGAGUUCGGGAGAGGUGAGUGGAACUGCGAGUGUAGAGGUGAAAUUCGUAGAUAUUCGCAAGAACACCAGUGGCGAAGGCAGCUCACUGGGCCGAGACUGACGCUGAGGCACGAAAGCGUGGGGAGCAAACAGG